UCUGACAAGUUAACAAGUAUUUUAAAUACAUACAUGCAAAAUAAUCUCCAUUAAGAGACAUGUUUUUAAAUAGUUGUGUUCUUUUGAAGGAAUCAGAAAUGACAUUUUGCUUUCCUUCCAAUUGUUUGUUUGAAAGUAAAAGUAUUUUUUUCAGGUAUUACAAGGUGAAUUUUAUUUGAAAUGUUGGUAGCUGCAAUAAUCAUUUAAAAAUACUUCUGUUUUCUUCUUGGCAUUUUAACCUUUUUAUUAUUAUUUGUUUUAUUUUUUAUUGUUUAAUUUUAAGUUGUCAGUUUUUAUGACCUUAUGAUGUGCUGUAAGAAAAAGGGUGAUUCCUAAGAACAAAGGAAUUGGAGAACACAAUAUACUGCAAAUUUUAAAUGCACAAUCUGCAGUAAUGAAGUAGAAAUCUGCUGAAGUAGAAAUCAGCUGCUUUUUACUCAUAAUAAUCCAAAUAUCUAGGGUGACUUAAAACUCAGAGUGUCCUGAAUACUGGGAAGAUUACUAGAUAUAAUUAUCUCACUCUUAUGUAACACAAAAUAAAAGUUUCAGGCAAGUACUGAGCUUUUCCUUCUGCCUACAUAUUGAAAUAUUUCUCUUUGCAUAUUCCUCUCAGCAUAAACCAUUAGAAAUCGAAUAUCGUCUUAGAGCAUUUCAGAAUAUCCGACGUGUUGUAUGAGCACAUAUUUAUAGUUCUCCUCACUCAGACUGGGAGGGGAGGAGAGCGGGGCAGGGGGAGGAAUAUUGCAGCGCCGUGACGCUGAUCACUAGAGGCAAGUGUCACAGGGCCUGCCAUGCGGGGCCUACUCUCGCCAGAAGGCUAGUCAGGGCGCUGGGCCGGGGGUGGCCUCCACGUCUCCAUGGGGGCCCAUCUCCCUGAACCUCCUGCAAGGCUUUGUUCCUUGUGUCCGCAGGAUAUGUCAUUUUUGCAUCCUGGGAAUGAAGUCACUUCUCUGGAUUUGUGGCGCCGUCAGGACACAGAGCAGCAGCUUUUCCAGGCAAUAGCUAAUAAUAACACCUAGCUUCUCCCCAGCUCUCAAUCAUGAGUUGUGGCCAGUGCUGUGUAAAUCAGGAAAUAGAUGGCUCCUAUCACUCAGAGGAAAUAACUGAGGGCUGAGCAAGCUGAAGCCCACACUGCGAAACACUGUUCUUGGACAAGCUGUUUCAGGAAGUCCUAUGUGACAAAGCUUCCAAGGAAAGAACAGCAUUCAGAAGAGGACACUCAGAUUUCAUUUGUUUGAGUUUGUCAAGGCUGAGGACAACCACUAAGGAGCAAGCUCAGAAGGAUUUGUCCAGGAUGACACAGUCAGAACAGUCCCAUCCUUCCCAGCGCUAAUACCAAACCAGUGCUUAAUAACAAAACAGUGUCUAAUAAAAAAAACUUGGAACAUUUCUUUCCA
Molecule: long non-coding RNA, 1397 nt
Filed under: Anser brachyrhynchus (Pink-footed goose)
Lineage: Eukaryota; Metazoa; Chordata; Aves; Anseriformes; Anatidae
Description: lncRNA (ENSABRG00000008145.1)
Source: RNAcentral